GAUGAAGAACGUAAUGAAAUGCGAUAAGUAGUGUGAAUUGCAGAAUUCAGUGAAUCAUCGAAUCUUUGAACGCACAUUGCGCCCCUUGGUAUUCCAUGGGGCAUGCCUGUUCGAGCGUCAUUUGUACCUUCAAGCUCUGCUUGGUGUUGGGUGUUUGUCUCGCCUCUGCGUGUAGACUCGCCUCAAAACAAUUGGCAGCCGGCGUAUUGAUUUCGGAGCGCAGUACAUCUCGCGCUUUGCACUCAUAACGACGACGUCCAAAAGUACAUUUUUACACUCUUGACCUCGGAUCAGGUAGGGAUACCCGCUGAACUUAAGCAUAUCAAUAAGCGGAGGA
Molecule: unclassified non-coding RNA, 337 nt
Filed under: soil metagenome
Description: partial contains 5.8S ribosomal RNA, internal transcribed spacer 2, and large subunit ribosomal RNA
Rfam family: 5.8S ribosomal RNA (bases 1-120)
Source: RNAcentral